UGGGGAAUAUUGGACAAUGGGCGAAAGCCUGAUCCAGCAAUACCGCGUGAGUGAUGACGGCCUUAGGGUUGUAAAGCUCUUUUAGCAGGGAAGAUAAUGACGGUACCUGCAGAAAAAGCCCCGGCUAACUCCGUGCCAGCAGCCGCGGUAAGACGGAGGGGGCUAGCGUUGUUCGGAAUUACUGGGCGUAAAGAGCGCGUAGGCGGCUUAGCAAGUUGGAAGUGAAAGCCCGGGGCUUAACCUCGGAACUGCUUUCAAAACUGCUAGGCUAGAGUAUGGUAGAGGGUGAUAGAAUUCCUAGUGUAGAGGUGAAAUUCUUAGAUAUUAGGAGGAAUACCGGUGGCGAAGGCGGUCACCUGGGCCAUUACUGACGCUGAGGCGCGAAAGCGUGGGGAGCAAA
This 400-nucleotide ribosomal RNA is filed under the name uncultured bacterium. Its description in RNAcentral is "bacterial SSU rRNA". It matches the Rfam family "Bacterial small subunit ribosomal RNA", at positions 355 to 772 of the family's 1533-position model. The record is from RNAcentral.